UACGAAGGGGGCGAGCGUUGUUCGGAAUUACUGGGCGUAAAGGGCGCGUAGGCGGCCUGCUAAGUCGAACGUGAAAUCCCCGGGCUCAACUCGGGAACUGCGUCCGAUACUGGCGGGCUUGAAUCCGGGAGAGGGAUGCGGAAUUCCAGGUGUAGCGGUGAAAUGCGUAGAUAUCUGGAGGAACACCGGUGGCGAAGGCGGCAUCCUGGACCGGCAUUGACGCUGAGGCGCGAAAGCUAGGGGAGCAAACGGG
This 253-nucleotide ribosomal RNA is filed under the name uncultured bacterium. RNAcentral's name for it is "partial 16S ribosomal RNA". It matches the Rfam family "Bacterial small subunit ribosomal RNA", at positions 524 to 776 of the family's 1533-position model. The record is from RNAcentral.